This 105-nucleotide non-coding RNA is filed under the name Acidiphilium rubrum. Its description in RNAcentral is "TPP sequence". It matches the Rfam family "TPP riboswitch aptamer (THI element)". From Rfam's summary of the family: Vitamin B(1) in its active form thiamin pyrophosphate (TPP) is an essential coenzyme that is synthesised by coupling of pyrimidine and thiazole moieties in bacteria. The record is from Rfam by way of RNAcentral. Lineage: Bacteria; Pseudomonadati; Pseudomonadota; Alphaproteobacteria; Acetobacterales; Acidocellaceae.
GAUUAUUCCGAGGGGUGCGCCGUCGCGCUGAGAGCCGGGUUUGUCCGGCAACUCUUUGAACCUGAUCCGGGUUGCGCCGGCGGAGGGACGGGAUUUGCCUUUGUU